Long non-coding RNA from Dipodomys ordii (Ord's kangaroo rat), 467 nucleotides. RefSeq lists it as uncharacterized. The record is from RefSeq and is a predicted model, not a curated record. The transcript has 3 exons. NCBI's taxonomy places the organism in Eukaryota, Metazoa, Chordata, Mammalia, Rodentia, Heteromyidae.
UGAGGCCAGGCUUUCCUAGUGAUAUGAACUCAAGCUUUCUUUUGCCAAGCAGUCUUACCACUCCUCUAAUCCUCUUCCACCAACCCUGACCCCCUUUUUUUUUUGCAGGAGCCUGGAAUCACCCCAGUUUGCAGCCCCCUGCCAACUACUGCUGCCCAGAAUGGUGGCAGAGUGCCUGGUCUUCAGACAGGAGCUAUCAAAUCAUAGAACCAGAGGGACAUCUGGAGGUCACCUCAUUGAGCCCUCUGCCGGCAUCCAGUCCUGCUCAUGAAGACAGCGACAGACAAGAUCUGACCUUCUAGACAUGCACAAUGAAAACUGGCGGGGAUCAGAAGACCUAUGACCUAGUCCUGGAUUCUCCAAAAAGACUGUUCGCUCUGGGGUCCGGACAGCCGAGGUAGCACGGCGGAGAAAGGACGCGCUGCAGCUUUAAGAUUUCUCCCGGGCGUCCGGUUGCCAAGGCGCGG